GCCAGGAAUCAACCUGAGUUAGCUUGCAGGAUCCAGGCAGUUUCUCUACAGUUGUUUCAGUGUACUCAACAUGACUCAUGUGUCCUGCACCCACAAACUCCCCCCUCGAGUUUCACCCAUAAGAAGAUUUCAAGCAGGUGGAUUAUUAAUGCCCUGCAUUCUGCCAGUGAAAAUUUAAAUAGUGAUGUCACAGAAGGCACAGCUUCCCACCACAGCCCCAAACAGCCCCUUCCCCCGUGUCCCUUUCUUUGAGCCAUCACAAGAACUCCUCUGGCUGAACAGUCAGACUGGCAAAAAGCUUUUCCAUUUUGGUCUUCUGCUGGUUUGGAGCAGGCUAGCAUUGUUUGACACACCACCAGGUGAACAGAAACAGGUGGAUCAAGAAGAAAAACUCUCUGGAAAGCUCCAGCACAAUCAACUCCUCGAUCUAGAACAAAGAAGGAACAGUCCUUCCACAACACUGAAGGAAAAACAAGCCGUAUCAGAAGACACAUCUUUGAAGCACUUCUUCUGACAGCAAAAAUAACGAGAAAACCUUCAUACUUAACUGGGGAAUUGUCCACAAAACUACUUAGUAAAUCCAUAAAUGGAUGCUAUGAAGACGAGGCAGUGAUCCAAAGAUGACUAUGUAAUAACAUGUCAACAGUUCCAAUGAACAAUAUAUCAGGAGCAAAAAAAAGGUUUUUU
Long non-coding RNA from Pseudopipra pipra, 687 nucleotides. RefSeq lists it as uncharacterized. The transcript has 2 exons. The record is from RefSeq and is a predicted model, not a curated record. NCBI's taxonomy places the organism in Eukaryota, Metazoa, Chordata, Aves, Passeriformes, Pipridae.